RNAcentral lists this ribosomal RNA (485 nucleotides) under uncultured bacterium. RNAcentral describes it as "partial 16S ribosomal RNA". It matches the Rfam family "Bacterial small subunit ribosomal RNA", at positions 30 to 507 of the family's 1533-position model. The record is from RNAcentral.
AUUGAACGCUGGCGGCAGGCUUAACACAUGCAAGUCGAGCGGGGGAAGGUAGCUUGCUACCGGACCUAGCGGCGGACGGGUGAGUAAUGCUUAGGAAUCUGCCUAUUAGUGGGGGACAACAUCUCGAAAGGGAUGCUAAUACCGCCUACGUCCUACGGGAGAAAGCAGGGGAUCUUCGGACCUUGCGCUAAUAGAUGAGCCUAAGUCGGAUUAGCUAGUUGGUGGGGUAAAGGCCUACCAAGGCGACGAUCUGUAGCGGGUCUGAGAGGAUGAUCCGCCACACUGGGACUGAGACACGGCCCAGACGCCUACGGGAGGCAGCAGUGGGGAAUCUGGGACCAUGGGUGGAACCCUGAGCCAGCCAGGCCGCGUGUGGGAAGAAGACCGUAGGGUUGUAAAGCACGUUAAGCGAGGAGGAGGCUACUUUAGUUAAUACCUAGGGAUAGUGGACGUUAUUCGCAGAAUAAGCACCGGCUAACUCUGUG